UUCACAGUCAGGGAUGGGCCAUGAGCCCACCCCGCCCUGCAAGCCCGGGCCGGUCGGACGCCCCGGGGGAUCUGGGCUUGCCCUCCAAGGAAGCCCACCCCUCUCGGCCUGGCGACGGGCCCCAGGCCACCUCCCCGAGGGCAGAGCCUGGGGGCCCGGCGGGGUGUCGGCCAGCAGCCGGUUCAAAACUACCGGGGCGGAGCUUCUUCGGUGUCCGGGUGAAGUUUCCAAACCAACCCGAGGAGGAAGACCUCCGGGAGGGGAGAGGCCGAAAGCGUUUCGUUUCCAGUGCUUUGGCUGCUUGAAAGCACUUGGAAUACUAGCAGCUGUGAACUUAGCCAAAAAAAAUCACCUCUUCUCCGACUCCAGAGGAAAGAAACAAGAAGGAAUGAGUCACUGCUGCCUCCAGAAAGUAGUAGUUUGUUUACAACGACCAACAGCAGCAGCCCCCUGAAGGGACCGGCUGCAGCCGGGGUUGCUAGGACCCCGACGUCUACAUUCGUGCCGGUGAAUGACGUUGCACCAAGGCUGGACCUCCAAAAAUGAGCCCCAGAGAGUUCCCAGACCGUUGGAAGAGGUUAAAAAGCCCUCCACCGAACUGAGGAGUGUUUCUUCUCAGAGGUGUCAACUGGAUUCAGAGUUCCCUGCGGCGCUCUGGAUCAGACAAGAAGUGAGGUGCUUAAAAACUUACUCCCCGCUUUCCUUUGGGAAAUUUUGCAUGUUUUUUAUCCUCAGCAUCUUCCAGGAUACUUUCAGAUACCUCACGGUGGUCCCUAGUGUGCGACCUUCACUGAGCCCUGAAACCCUGCCACCCGCAAGUACUGUGAAGAGAAUAGAGCGAAUACAAACUUAAAAAAAAAGCAUGAACCUUGAUGCUUAGGGGGCUCACCGGCUUGUGUAAAUUGUGUUUACAAAAAAAAAAGCGUACAUAAAGAGAUAGACGGCAGAGCAGACAGCAGUGUGAAUAUUAAAAAUGCUCAGCAUCUUUAACCCAGGCAUUUUCCUAAGGAAACAACGGAGAAGUGCGGAAGAAUGGAUAUAAAAAGAUGCAGUGCGGUGAUAUUUAUGAUGGUGGUAAAAUUGGGAACUGAUUAAAAGUCUGAGACUUACUUAAAUGAUAAUAUAUUUGUACAGUCAUUUAAAGUGAUGCACUUCAAUAUUUACUAACAUGGG
Molecule: long non-coding RNA, 1173 nt
Organism: Bos taurus (domestic cattle)
Lineage: Eukaryota; Metazoa; Chordata; Mammalia; Artiodactyla; Bovidae
Source: Ensembl